CCCUGCAUUCGGAAGUGAUCAGUGAUCCUGGUUGCCUGUGCCCUGGUCAUUGAUAGUGCAGGGAGAGCAGCUGCUGAAAGCACUUCCCCGUGUUUGGAGGGUCCGCUGCCAUCCCUGCCCAACCCGGGAGCUUUCCCACA
This is a small nucleolar RNA of Lepus europaeus (European hare), 140 nucleotides long. RefSeq annotates it as small nucleolar RNA SNORA71. Lineage: Eukaryota; Metazoa; Chordata; Mammalia; Lagomorpha; Leporidae. The transcript has a single exon. The record is from RefSeq and is a predicted model, not a curated record.